Leptonychotes weddellii (Weddell seal) is the source of this 332-nucleotide non-coding RNA. NCBI's taxonomy places the organism in Eukaryota, Metazoa, Chordata, Mammalia, Carnivora, Phocidae. The record is from RefSeq and is a predicted model, not a curated record.
GGAGACUGCUGUGACUGAAACCAAAAAAGUGAUAUCAAAGGUCAGCGUUUUAGGGAGACCUUGGAUUGCAGUCAAGAUGUUCAGGAAAAAGCAGAAGUGCAUCAGCCAAAAUGAUAUUAACUGUGAUGACCAGGAUCUCCAUUUUUCAAACCUGAGUAUCGAACUACUCUGAAGCAAGAAGGAAGAAAGGACCAUGCGAAGACUCAUGAAGCCACCAAAGUUAUGCAGUCCGUGUUCCCAGAAAGUCUGCUACAUUUCCUGGUCUUGAAAGCCGUGACCAUAUGAAGAAGAGGUCCUAUAAUGCCCUGCAGUGCAAUGUCACCUCUUCACCA